AUGGCGUCCUUCGGUUCCAUGGCGGUGGCGCUCGUGGUGUGCGCAAUGCUGCUGCAGACCUGCGCCGCCACGAGGAGGCUCCAGGCGCUGGUGCAGGAGCAGCCCAUCACCAUGAAGUACCACAAGGGCGCGCUCCUCUCCGGCCGCAUCGCCGUCAACCUCGUCUGGUACGGCAACUUCUCCGCGCCGCAGCGCGCCAUCGUCACCGACUUCGUCUCGUCGCUGGCCUCCGCGUCCCCGGCGCCGCAGCCGGAGCCGUCCGUGGCCACGUGGUUCAAGACGGCGCAGAAGUACUACGCCAGCUCCAAGGCCCGCUUCCCGGCCCUGGCCCUCGGCUCCCACGUCUUCGACCAGUCCUACUCCCUCGGCCGGCGGCUCCGGGAGCGGGACCUCGUUAGGCUCGCCGCGCGCGGCGGGCCCAGCCGCGCCAUCAACGUGGUGCUCACGGCCGACGACGUGGCCGUCGACGGGUUCUGCAUGAGCCGCUGCGGCUCGCACGGCGCCUCUCCGCGGUCCCGCGCCGGGCGGUUCGCGUACGUGUGGGUGGGCAACCCGGCGACGCAGUGCGCCGGGCAGUGCGCGUGGCCGUUCCACCAGCCGCAGUACGGCCCGCAGACGGCGCCCCUCGCGCCGCCCAACGGCGACGUCGGCGUCGACGGCAUGGUGGUGUCCCUCGCGUCCAUGAUCGUCGGCACCGUCACCAACCCCUUCGGCAACGGCUUCUUCCAGGGCCCGGCCGAGGCGCCGCUGGAGGCCGCCACGGCGUGCGCCGGGGUGUACGGCAAGGGGGCGUACCCCGGCUACGCGGGCUCGCUGCUCGUGGACCCGGCCACCGGCGCGAGCUUCAACGCGAAUGGAGCCCACGGCCGGAAGUACCUGGUCCCGGCGCUCGUGGACCCCGACACGUCCACCUGCUCCACCUUGGGGUAG
Molecule: ribosomal RNA, 930 nt
Filed under: Triticum aestivum (bread wheat)
Lineage: Eukaryota; Viridiplantae; Streptophyta; Magnoliopsida; Poales; Poaceae
Description: partial small subunit ribosomal RNA
Source: RNAcentral